CCUCUUUUUAUAGACCCCAUCCUGUGUCUCCCCUCUGUUCCACUUGUGCUAUGGUAUCCUGGCACUGCCUGGACCCUUUGUUUUCCCUGCUUCUGCCUAGCCUGGGCUCCUUGAAUGGGUCCUGGCUGCCAACCAACCACCCCCACAACCUCCAUACACCAGGUAUCCCCUCACAGUGCCCUCUUUUGACCCUCCUUUGGUCCAGGUCCCACUCUGAGGAUCUACUCACCAGGGCAGAGGAGCCAAAUUGGCUGUCCUCUGCACCCCUAAGGCUUCCUAUGGGAAACACAGACUUGCCUCUUGCCUGAGUCCACUUUGCUGCCUGAACCUUGAGGCCUGGCAGUUAACAUGUGACUUGUUCCAACCCAGCCCUGAGAGAUCCACUCCCUUCCCUCCCCUGACCUCUCAACUUGCAUGCUAGCCCUACCCAGCCCUCCCUAACCCUGACCCUUUGCACUUCAGUCCCCAAGCCUGGCGCUCACAUGAGCCCUGACAGUGUUCCUCAUGUCACUUGGCAUAGCAUGGAGUCUCUUCCUGUUGGAUCUGACCUGGGGUCCCCUUGCUUGGGACUGCCAGCGUGCUCCCUUAGCUGCCCGUUGAGCUUUUCUCAGUCUCCUCAUCCUUUCACAGCCCUUCCUCCCAUUCCCCUCUGGCUUUCCCCUGGCGCUUGCAGGUCUCCUGCACCUUGGGUCUCUCAUCCAUGGUUGGUCAGAUGGGUCCUUUGCCUGGGCAUCGGGCUUGAGUCCUGGACCUUGCCCCCCCACACGCACCCACAGAGACCCCCCCAUAAUGCCCUCUUAUCUCCCUUCUCCUGGAACCCUUCACUUGCCAGGCCGCCUUUGCCACGUCUCUGUCCCUGGAUUCUCAUCUGGGCCAGAGCACCUUAUGGGAAACUUAGUUCUGCCCCUUGACUGGGCCCCUUGCUUUCUCUGGGCCUUUGGUCCUGCACCUGGAACCCUGAUACCUGGCAGUCGCCCUGGGCCAGGAGCCUGCCAGCCCAAUGCUGGAUCACAUCCCUCCAAAGUCUUGUCCACUGUCUUGAGCCCCCUGCCCAAGCCCUGGCCCUUGGCUCUCCAUUCCCUGGCCUUCCUCCUCGCUUGACCCUCUGGGGGACCUUCUUGCUCCAUGCUUCCCUGGGCUUGCACUGCGGGUCUCGAUGGGGACAGUACCCUAGUCCCCUUGGCUUCCCUGAAUCUCAGAACCCUACUGUCAUCUGCCUGCCCAGCCCCGCCCUUCCCUGCCCUUUCCUGGCCUGGGCCCUCCUGUUGGUCCCUAGCAUGGACUCCUUUCUAGAGUCCUGGCCCACACCCAUCCACACCCUUCCUCUGGCCUUUCAUGCUGUACCCUCCUUCAUCCCUCUUGUUGUCCCUGUCCCUGCUGGGCCCCUUUUCAAGAUCCCUUUCCCAGGAUUCUCACCAGGUCCAGGGGACUGGAACUGGGCAUUUGGCCCUGUAGGCUCCCUUUGGGAAAAUGUAGCUGUGCCCCUUGCCUGGGAUAUUGGACUCUCUUCCCAGGCCCUGCUCCUUGAUCGUGACACCCAGCAGUUAACCUGAGCCUUGAUUCCUCCUCUUGCUGCGCCACCCACUACUCUUGCUCCCCUUUCUCCCCUCCCCAGCCCUGUCUGUUUUCAUAGGACCCAGGACUGGGUCCUGGCACUUGGCUCCCCAUUCUUGGGCCUGGCUCCUUGAUGGAGCACCCAGUCGCCCUUCUUGAGGACCCUGUCCCUGUUCCUUGAUUUCAGGGCCCUUGCUUGCCCCCCUCAUGUUCCUCCCCUCUGUUCCUCUUGUACUGUGGUAUUUUGUCAUUGCCAGGAUCCUUCUCUCCCCCUGCUUCUCCCUAGCUUGUUCUCCUCCAAUGGUUGCUGGCUCCCCACUGACACCCCCACAAUCCCAGAUCAAAGGUAUCCCUCCCAUUGCCCUCCAUUGGUCAUGGUCUCCCUCUGAGGAUCUACUCACCUGGGGCAGAGGAGUGGAAUUGGCUGGCCUCUGGGCCCUGAAGGAUCCCUAUGGGCAACAUAGCCCUGGCCCUCACCCGGGGCCCCCUUUGCCCUCCAAACUUGACAACUGGCAGUGGACUUGGGCCUAGUGAUCACCUUGCCCUGGGUGAUUGUGGGAGGCCAACCUUAUGGGUGACUGAGUUACACUCCCCAGCUGGGUGCUGAGGCACUCAGUCACAGAAAUGGGUGUGUCUUGCUACAACCCAAUGGGUGAAGCUAUGCUCACCUGUUCCUUUGUAAUAUAACCCCUUGCCCUGUUUAGGAUUGCCGCAGUCCGGCUGCAGCAAAAUAACCAGGGGGUGACGAAUAACUUGUGUACGUUGAUACAGCAGGAGUAGGAGCCCUUUAUUGCAUGACAGGAGCAGUAUUUAUACAUUCCACACAGCUUAUCUAAUUAACAUAAACUAGAUACAGCAGUCAACCAAUCAGGAAUCUCC
This 2433-nucleotide long non-coding RNA is filed under the name Marmota monax (woodchuck). The record is from RNAcentral. Lineage: Eukaryota; Metazoa; Chordata; Mammalia; Rodentia; Sciuridae.